This 254-nucleotide ribosomal RNA is filed under the name uncultured bacterium. RNAcentral's name for it is "partial 16S ribosomal RNA". It matches the Rfam family "Bacterial small subunit ribosomal RNA", at positions 524 to 776 of the family's 1533-position model. The record is from RNAcentral.
GACAGAGGUGGCAAGCGUUGUUCGGAUUCAUUGGGUGUAAAGGGUGCGUAGGCGGUUUGGAAAGUCAGAUGUGAAAUCCUACAGCUUAACUGUAGAACUGCAUUUGAAACUUCCAGACUAGAGGACGGAAGAGGUGAAGGGAAUUCCCAGUGUAAGGGUGAAAUCUGCAGAUAUUGGGAAGAACACCAGUAGCGAAGGCGCUUCACUGGUCCGUUUCUGACGCUGAGUGCACGAAGGUGUGGGGAGCAAACGGG